RNAcentral lists this long non-coding RNA (2350 nucleotides) under Sus scrofa (pig). Its description in RNAcentral is "lncRNA (ENSSSCG00040009478.1)". Lineage: Eukaryota; Metazoa; Chordata; Mammalia; Artiodactyla; Suidae. The record is from RNAcentral.
CUUUUUAGGGCUGCACCUGGGCAUAUGGAAGUUCCCAGGCUAGGGGUCUAAUCAGAGCUAUUGCUGCCAGCCUAUGCCAGAGCCACAGCAAUGCCAGAUCCGAGCCUCAUCUGCAACCUACACCACAGCUCACAGCAAUGCCGGAUCCUUAACCCACUGAGUGAGGCCAGGGAUUGAACCUGCAACCUCAUGGGUUCUGGUCGGAUUCUUUUCCACUGCUCCAUGACGGGAACUCCUCCAGUGAGUCAUUUCAACCAAUAAAGUCAAAUCUUCUAUUAUUUGUGGAAAUUCCCCUAGAAAUAUAUCAUUAAAUGUUUAUUUUCUAAUUUUUGGUUUCUCUUUAAGGGCACUAAUUAUGGUUAAUGUAAGAUCCUUUGUUCUAUAGACACUGGUUUAUUUCUAGCCCUUAAAAUCACUUGUUUCAUUUCUUUUUGCUCAUUUAAAAAAAUUCUGCCCUGGAGUUCCUGUUGUGGCUCAGUGAGUUAAGAACCUGAGUAGUCUCCAUUAGGAUGUGGGUUUGAUCCCGGUCUCACUUAGUGGGUUAAGAAUCCAUGUUGCCACAAACUGCAGUGUAGGUCAUACAUGCAGUUUAAAUCUGGUGUGGCUGUGGCUAUGGUGUAGACAUGCAGCUGCAGCUCUGCUUUGACUCCUAGUCUGAGGACUCCCAUAUGCCGCAGGUGCAGUUGUAAAAAGGAAAAAAAAAAAUCUGUCUUUCAUAAUUUUUAUUGUAUUUUCCACAAAUAUCUAUUUUCAUAUAUGCAACUGUCAAUGGUAACAUUUUUUCUGUGAUUAUUUUAUCUUCUAAGUAUUCCUUCACUUCUGUAUUUCUCAUGCUACUUCUACAUCUGUGAUCUCAUUCUAAACCAUUGAGCUUUUAUUUCUCAGCCAUGAAUUCAUGCUUGUUUUAUUAAGUUGUGCUCAGUCAUGCUGGUGUUUUAACUCAGUAUAUCUGACCAUUGACAUGAUUUGGGGUGAGUUUUUUUAAUCCAUCUUUCCCUUUUCUCCUCUUUUCUAUGUAGUAUAUUUGCACUGACUCCUUUUUUUUAAUUACUUGCCUUCAAAUGAAAAGAAAUACUUCUUCAUCAGUAUUUCUAGAGUUCUUAUUAGAUAGACACUAGAGCAAGAUUACAAAACUAACAAGAAUUAUCCCUGGGUUAUGAUUACAUUGUCUUCAUGUCCAGGUUGAUUUAACUCUAUUUUUUCCAUUAAAAAGAGACCUCCAGCUAGAGUGCUACAUAUAACAGCUCUUGCCAUGCCACAUUUCCAGUGCACUUAUUUUUGCCCUCCCUCUUACUCCAUUGGGAAGAGGGGAAAAUGAAACCCUCUGCCUGUGAAACUCAGGCCUGUUUCACAAAAUAAAAAUUGUUGGUUUGCUCUUCAGAAUAAGAACUUUCCUCAGUCAGCUUGAUCCAAGAAUUUAGAGUCAUAAAAGCCCCUUUUAGCAUUUUUCCUACUGCUGUGGCAGCCCUUUUUAGAUAUCUGAUUAUUAAGGGUACAGAUGUCCUUAAUCAAAUGUAGAGCUUGAAUUUCUGUUUCUCAUGCCUUUUUGUUUGUUUGUUUCUAAAAAAAAGAGAAGACAACAUGAUAACAUGAGAUAUCUCUAAGCUCAUGUUAUUGAGGAAUGGCCUCAAAGUUGAGCAUGAACUAUAAGAAGCUAUAAACCAAACCAUCCUUAUAUGAGAGUUUGUGUUUACUUUAAUUACUUGCUUCCAUACUUAAGAAAACUUUAAUAUAUUUCUUUGACCUUCUUUCAUUAACCUUAGUCUAUGCCUCUACAAUAAAAUUCUAUAGGAAUUCUAUAAGUAUUCAAAGAUCAGUAUGUCAACAGUGACCCAUAGAGGACCCUCUUGUUCAGUGCAGCACAGCACCUCCUGGCUAAGAAUAUUAAUAAGCAGUCCCCAUGAAUUGAAUGGUUAUUAGAUACCAAACAUUAGGCCAUAUACUUUAUAUUCACAUCUUUGUUUAAAACUUUAAAUUGUUAUAUGAAGUAAUUAUUAUCAUUUUAUAAGAGUAGAAAAUCAAGGAUUUGAACUGUCUAGUAAUGUUACCAAAGCCAUGUAGGAAUUAAGUGGCUUAGAGCCAGAAUUAAAACUCCGCUAUAUUCCAAAGCCUGUAAUCCCCAUCAUUUGGUCUAUAGGAUAUCGAAAUACUUUUUAACCAUUUUCAGAGUUACUUCCAUUAUUCCAGGGAAACGAAUCUGACUAGUAUACCAUGAGGAUGCAGAUUCAAUUCCUGGCCUCACUCAGUGGGUAGGGGAUCCAGUGUUGCAGUUCUCAGACACAGCUCAGAUCCCAUGUUGCCAUGGCUGUGGUGUAGGCCAGCAGCUGUAGCUCAGAUUUGACCCCUAGCC